CUACGGCCAUAUCACGUUGAAACGCUGUUCCCGUGUGAUCAUCCAAGGUAAGCAACGUCGAGCCUGGUCAAUAUCUAGAUGGGUGACCGCUUGGGAAUACCAGAUGCUGUAAG
This is a non-coding RNA of Acanthosepion pharaonis, 113 nucleotides long. The record is from the annotation of a GenBank genome assembly. NCBI's taxonomy places the organism in Eukaryota, Metazoa, Mollusca, Cephalopoda, Sepiida, Sepiidae.